This 252-nucleotide ribosomal RNA is filed under the name uncultured bacterium. Its description in RNAcentral is "partial 16S ribosomal RNA". It matches the Rfam family "Bacterial small subunit ribosomal RNA", at positions 524 to 776 of the family's 1533-position model. The record is from RNAcentral.
UACGGAGGAUGCGAGCGUUAUCCGGAUUUAUUGGGUUUAAAGGGUGCGUAGGCGGGUUAUCAAGUCAGCGGUAAAAUCGUGGAGCUCAACUCCAUCCAGCCGUUGAAACUGAUGAUCUUGAGAGGGCGAGAAGUAUGCGGAAUGCGUGGUGUAGCGGUGAAAUGCAUAGAUAUCACGCAGAACUCCGAUUGCGAAGGCAGCAUACCGGCGCCCGACUGACGCUGAAGCACGAAAGCGUGGGUAUCGAACAGG